RNAcentral lists this ribosomal RNA (141 nucleotides) under Triticum aestivum (bread wheat). Its description in RNAcentral is "partial small subunit ribosomal RNA". Lineage: Eukaryota; Viridiplantae; Streptophyta; Magnoliopsida; Poales; Poaceae. The record is from RNAcentral.
AUGUUCCGUGUGCUAUAUGAGAAGAUGUCGCAUUUUUGCGCAAAUUACGGUAAGAUUGGCGAUGUUGCAGAUCAAUGUGGGAAUGGGGUUCAUGAUCCAAAGAAGUUUCAGUUUAGCGAUUUUAUGAUGGUUCAAACCUAG